CAGCCGCCGCGGUAAUACGAAGGGGGCUAGCGUUACUCGGAAUUACUGGGCGUAAAGGGCGCGUAGGCGGCACGAUUAGUCAGGCGUGAAAUUCCUGGGCUCAACCUGGGGACUGCGCUUGAUACGGUCGAGCUAGAGGAUGGAAGAGGGUUGUGGAAUUCCCAGUGUAGAGGUGAAAUUCGUAGAUAUUGGGAAGAACACCGGUGGCGAAGGCGGCAACCUGGUCCAUUACUGACGCUGAGGCGCGACAGCGUGGGGAGCAAACAGGAUUAGAUACCCGAGUAGUCCCUGUCUCUUAUAC
This 301-nucleotide ribosomal RNA is filed under the name uncultured bacterium. Its description in RNAcentral is "partial 16S ribosomal RNA". It matches the Rfam family "Bacterial small subunit ribosomal RNA", at positions 509 to 807 of the family's 1533-position model. The record is from RNAcentral.